RNAcentral lists this ribosomal RNA (495 nucleotides) under uncultured bacterium. Its description in RNAcentral is "partial 16S ribosomal RNA". It matches the Rfam family "Bacterial small subunit ribosomal RNA", at positions 30 to 507 of the family's 1533-position model. The record is from RNAcentral.
UGACCGCUGGCGGCGUGCCUAAUACAUGCACGUCGAGCGAACAGACGAGGAGCUUGCUCCUCUGACGUUAGCGGCGGACGGGUGAGUAACACGUGGAUAACCUACCUAUAAGACUGGGAUAACUUCGGGAAACCGGAGCUAAUACCGGAUAAUAUAUUGAACCGCAUGGUUCAAUAGUGAAAGACGGUUUUGCUGUCACUUAUAGAUGGAUCCGCGCCGCAUUAGCUAGUUGGUAAGGUAACGGCUUACCAAGGCGACGAUGCGUAGCCGACCUGAGAGGGUGAUCGGCCACACUGGAACUGAGACACGGUCCAGACUCCUACGGGAGGCAGCAGUAGGGAAUCUUCCGCAAUGGGCGAAAGCCUGACGGAGCAACGCCGCGUGAGUGAUGAAGGUCUUCGGAUCGUAAAACUCUGUUAUUAGGGAAGAACAAAUGUGUAAGUAACUAUGCACGUCUUGACGGUACCUAAUCAGAAAGCCACGGCUAACUACGUG